GUUUUGGAAGGUUGAUACCGGCUUCUAUCCCAAAGUCAGCAAGCGUGUUGAAGUAUUCAGCUACGACAUCCCGUUCUUCCUUAACAUCACCUAUCAUGCAUACUUGACCUGAUGGAAAAGCUCGUCGAGGUAAGGAGAGAUGUGGUAGAAGAGGACGCAUGCAAGGUUAUCCCACCGUGUGCUGCUCUUGAUCAGAUUUCAUAGUGCUUUGUAUUCGAGCUGCCAAUUACGGUAUACCAGCAACAUUGGACACGACGGUGGCGAGUGGGCCGGCUUCGUAUGUCGUAAACGACGCACCGGUGACUGCUUCGGUUCGAAUCUUCUGGCCUGCGAUUACUAUCGAUCAGGCUUCUAUCGAAGACAGCAUGCUGCCUCGACUACACUAGAUCUUUUGUCCUUUCUUUGAGGUCGUGUUCUUAUGCAGAGCUUGUUCAACUAUUAAAAGAA
This is a non-coding RNA of Dermacentor albipictus, 447 nucleotides long. The record is from RefSeq and is a predicted model, not a curated record. NCBI's taxonomy places the organism in Eukaryota, Metazoa, Arthropoda, Arachnida, Ixodida, Ixodidae.